GCUAAGGCCCCAAAAUGAUUGUUAAGUGACAAAGGAGGUGAGAAUGCAGAAACAACCAGGAGGUUUGCUUAGAAGCAGCCACCCUUUAAAGAGUGCGUAAUAGCUCACUGGUGGAGCGUUCUUGCGCCGAAAAUGUCCGGGACUAAAUGAUCUGCCGAAGCUGUGGGAUAUUUCAAAAAGAAAUAUCGGUAGGGGAGCGUUCUGCUGUAGGGUGAAGCGGUUAUGUAAGUAACCGUGGACGAAGCGGAAGUGAGAAUGUCGGCUUGAGUAACGCAAACAUUGGUGAGAAUCCAAUGCCCCGAAAACCUAAGGAUUCCUCCACUAGGUUCGUCCAUGGAGGGUGAGUCAGGUCCUAAGGCGAGGCCGAAAGGCGUAGUCGAUGGCAAACAGGUUAAUAUUCCUGUACUAUUUUAUGUUUGGUACCGAGGGACGGAGCAGGCAGAAAUUGGCCGAGAGUGGAUUUCGGUGGAAACUAUCAACACGUUGAGAGGUAGAAGAAAAACUAACCUUGAGUGGAGAAGUGAUACGUCUUUAUCUUUUAGAUAAAGAUCAGUUGACUGUCAUACUUCCAAGAAAAGCUCGAACUACUGUAAAACAUAAAAUACCUGUACCGUAAACCGACACAGGUGGGUUGGUAGAGUAUACCAAGGGGCGCGAGAUAACUCUCUCUAAGGAACUCGGC
Molecule: ribosomal RNA, 682 nt
Filed under: Lobosphaeropsis lobophora
Lineage: Eukaryota; Viridiplantae; Chlorophyta; Trebouxiophyceae; Chlorellales; Chlorellaceae
Description: bacterial LSU rRNA
Rfam family: Bacterial large subunit ribosomal RNA
Source: RNAcentral